GACGAACGCUGGCGGCGUGCUUAACACAUGCAAGUCGAACGGAAAGGCCCUGCUUUUGUGGGGUGCUCGAGUGGCGAACGGGUGAGUAACACGUGAGUAACCUGCCCUUGACUUUGGGAUAACUUCAGGAAACUGGGGCUAAUACCGGAUAGGAGCUCCUGCUGCAUGGUGGUGGUUGGAAAGUUUCGGCGGUUGGGGAUGGACUCGCGGCUUAUCAGCUUGUUGGUGGGGUAGUGGCUUACCAAGGCUUUGACGGGUAGCCGGCCUGAGAGGGUGACCGGCUACAUUGGGACGGGGAUACGGCCCAGACUCCUACGGGAGGCAGCAGUGGGGAAUAUUGCACAAUGGGCGGAAGCAGGAUGCAGCAACGCCGCGUGCGGGAUGACGGCCUUCGGGUUGGAAACCGCUUUCGCCUGUGACGAAGCGUGAGGGACGGUAAUGGGUAAAGAAGCACCGGCUAACUACGU
Molecule: ribosomal RNA, 467 nt
Filed under: uncultured bacterium
Lineage: Bacteria
Description: partial 16S ribosomal RNA
Rfam family: Bacterial small subunit ribosomal RNA
Source: RNAcentral